AGAGUUUGAUCAUGGCUCAGAGCGAACGCUGGCGGCAGGCUUAACACAUGCAAGUCGAGCGCCCCGCAAGGGGAGCGGCAGACGGGAGAGUAACACGUGGGAACGUACCUUUCAGUUCGGGACAACCGAGGGAAACUUUGGCUAAUACCGGAUACGCCCGUAAGGGGAAAGAUUUAUCGCUGAAAGAUCGGCCCGCGUCUGAUUAGCUAGUUGGUGAGGUAAUGGCUCACCAAGGCUACGAUCAGUAGCUGGUCUGAGAGGAUGAUCAGCCACACUGGAACUGAGACACGGUCCAGACUCCUACGGGAGGCAGCAGUGGGGAAUAUUGGACAAUGGGGGCAACCCUGAUCCAGCAAUGCCGCGUGUGUGAAGAAGGCCUGCGGGUUGUAAAGCACUUUUGUUUGGGGCGAAAUCUUAUCGAUUAAUACUCGGUGAGGAUGACGGUACCAAAAGAAUAGACC
RNAcentral lists this ribosomal RNA (461 nucleotides) under uncultured Chelatococcus sp. RNAcentral's name for it is "partial 16S ribosomal RNA". It matches the Rfam family "Bacterial small subunit ribosomal RNA", at positions 8 to 492 of the family's 1533-position model. Lineage: Bacteria; Pseudomonadati; Pseudomonadota; Alphaproteobacteria; Hyphomicrobiales; Chelatococcaceae. The record is from RNAcentral.